This 307-nucleotide unclassified non-coding RNA is filed under the name Hevea brasiliensis (rubber tree). The record is from RNAcentral. Lineage: Eukaryota; Viridiplantae; Streptophyta; Magnoliopsida; Malpighiales; Euphorbiaceae.
GUGAAGACUUAUGGUCCACCACUAAAAAGGCUUUGCUUCCGCAAUCACCCACCAUCGCUUCCCUCUCUCUCACGCACAAACAGAGAGAGAGAGCGAGAGACAGAGAGGAACAGAGUCUCCGUUGAAAUCAAAAUUUUCUCUUACACGAUCCCGGAAAAUUCUCUCUUCAUUUUUCUUUAUCAUCCAAUUCCCGCCAUUUACUUUCCUUCUCAUUUUCAUUUCAAACAAACAAAACUAUUUGGAGAAAAAAAGAAGUCAACAACUCUCUGUUUCAGAUCUCCUUUUCUUUGCUUCAAUUCAUUCAAGU